Molecule: ribosomal RNA, 115 nt
Filed under: uncultured bacterium
Lineage: Bacteria
Description: partial 16S ribosomal RNA
Rfam family: Bacterial small subunit ribosomal RNA
Source: RNAcentral
CGUUCCCGGGCCUUGUACACACCGCCCGUCACACCACGAAAGUCGGCAAUACCCGAAGCCGGUGGCCUAACCCUCUGGGAGGGAGCCGUCGAAGGUAGGGUCGAUGAUUGGGGUG